UCACGAAAGCCGGGAGCACUUGAAGAGGCUGUACUAGAAGUCCCCAUCCUAACCGCAAGGGAGGUAGGGCCCAAGGUAUGGCUCAUGAUUGGGGUG
This 96-nucleotide ribosomal RNA is filed under the name uncultured bacterium. RNAcentral describes it as "partial 16S ribosomal RNA". The record is from RNAcentral.